CCCUUAGAUGUUCUGGGCCGCACGCGCGCUACACUGACGGAGCCAACGAGUAUUUUCCUUGUCCGGAAGGACUGGGUAAUCUUGUGAAACUUUGUCGUGCUGGGGAUAGAGCAUUGUAAUUAUUGCUCUUCAACGAGGAAUUCCUAGUAAGCGUGAGUCAUCAGCUCGCGUUGAUUACGUCCCUGCCCUUUGUACACACCGCCCGUCGCUACUACCGAUUGAAUGGCUUAGUGAGCCUUUGGGAUUGACAGCCAACACCGGCAACGGUAGCUGGCCGCCGAAAACUUAUGCAAACUUGGUCAUUUAGAGGAAGUAAAAGUCGUAACA
Molecule: ribosomal RNA, 327 nt
Filed under: uncultured eukaryote
Lineage: Eukaryota
Description: partial 18S ribosomal RNA
Rfam family: Eukaryotic small subunit ribosomal RNA
Source: RNAcentral